GCAAACUUGGUCAUUUAGAGGAAGUAAAAGUCGUAACAAGGUUUCCGUAGGUGAACCUGCGGAAGGAUCAUUACAGUAUUGUUUUUGCCAGCGCUUAAUUGCGCGGCGAAAAAAACCUUACACACAGUGAUUUUUCUUUUACUAGAACUAUUGCUUUGGCUUGGCCGAAAGGUUGGGCCAGAGGUUAUCACUAAACUUCAAUAUUAUUAUUGAAUUGUUAAUUAAAUAUUUAUUUGUCAAUUUGUUUGAUUUUAUUCAAAAAAAAUUAAAACUUUCAACAACGGAUCUCUUGGUUCUCGCAUCGAUGAAGAACGCAGC
Molecule: unclassified non-coding RNA, 318 nt
Filed under: uncultured fungus
Lineage: Eukaryota; Fungi
Description: partial contains small subunit ribosomal RNA, internal transcribed spacer 1, and 5.8S ribosomal RNA
Rfam family: Eukaryotic small subunit ribosomal RNA (bases 1-73)
Source: RNAcentral